This 1022-nucleotide long non-coding RNA is filed under the name Olea europaea subsp. europaea. Lineage: Eukaryota; Viridiplantae; Streptophyta; Magnoliopsida; Lamiales; Oleaceae. The record is from RNAcentral.
AUUUUUUUCUUGGUAAAUGUGAAUUAUAUCGAUCAACAAUAUAUACAAAUACACUGGACAUUUCCAGACAAAUCAAAAUCAAGUCAAAUGUCUAUACAACAACACCGAGCAUUCCUAGGUAAAAAUAAAUGAAAAUGAUAAAAUCCAACAAAGUAUUGGAUCAAAACAUUCGGAUACAAAGAAAACAUGACUUUGUAUACGUGUGUUUUGAUCAAAGUUACAAUGCUAUCAAUCUGAGGUAUAAGGUUUUCAAAAAUCUUCCUAUUCCUUACCAUCCAAAUGUGGUAAACUGUCAAAGAAAGUGCAAUACGCUUCACUUUGCUGUGCCAAGAUUUUCCCCUACUUUCCUUCUUGAUCCAUUUGAGAGCGCUAGGAAGUGUGGACAUUAAUCUUUAAAUGCCAACCCAUGCACGGAUUAUGUGCGAAACUAAUUUGCUAAUUGGACAAUUGAAAAACAAGUGCUGAGCAGUUUCUUCCAUUCGUUCACAUAAACAACAAUUACGGUCAAUUUGAAGAUAAUGUAAUCUGUCCUUCGUAAGUAGUUUCGAUUUGGUUGCCAACCACAAGAUAAAUACAUGCUUAGGUGUCACAUAUGUGUUCCAAACUGAACUAGCCCAUAUUACCUUAGUUCCCCUCGGCCGAAAGAAAUCAUAUGCAGCAGAAUUGCAGAAUUUGUCACCAAACUUCUAGUUGGACAGCUUAUGAACAGCAGCCUCAUGAGUGUGAUCGGCCCCCGGAAUUUUAUCUCUGAUCUCCAACAGUUUUUGGAAAAGAGAGUCAUCUUUCCUCAUUGUAUACAUCCAAAUGUCACUCCCCCAAAUUACACUUGAUCGUAGCGAUUUUUAUUUGUGGAUCGUCGUGAGUAGCAUUCAAUAUCAUGAUUGUGUCUCAGAACUAAAAACCUUAGCAAGAUGGUUGAAUGUUAAGUUUCUGUCUAUUAGGUUUGUAGACAAAAAUAUUUGGUCCCGACACAUUUAAUGAAAAAACAUGCCAGUUGGCCCCAAAACAAUCCAAGGCCAAAG